RNAcentral lists this ribosomal RNA (253 nucleotides) under uncultured bacterium. Its description in RNAcentral is "partial 16S ribosomal RNA". It matches the Rfam family "Bacterial small subunit ribosomal RNA", at positions 524 to 776 of the family's 1533-position model. The record is from RNAcentral.
UACGUAGGGUACAAGCGUUAAUCGGAAUUACUGGGCGUAAAGGGUGCGCAGGCGGUCAUGUAAGUCAGAUGUGAAAUCCCCGGGCUUAACCUGGGAAUUGCGUUUGAAACUACAUGACUAGAGUGCAGUAGAGGGAGGUGGAAUUCCAUGUGUAGCAGUGAAAUGCGUAGAUAUAUGGAGGAACAUCGAUGGCGAAGGCAGCCUCCUGGACUGACACUGACGCUCAUGCACGAAAGCGUGGGGAGCAAACAGG